Molecule: non-coding RNA, 72 nt
Organism: Phrynosoma platyrhinos (Desert horned lizard)
Lineage: Eukaryota; Metazoa; Chordata; Lepidosauria; Squamata; Phrynosomatidae
Source: the annotation of a GenBank genome assembly
GCCAGCAUAGUGUAGUGUUUUCUCUGUCAGACUACAACUCUGGAGACCAAGGUUCGAUUCCCAGCUCAGCCA